This 575-nucleotide ribosomal RNA is filed under the name Helicotylenchus dihystera. RNAcentral describes it as "eukaryotic LSU rRNA". The stretch from base 400 to 575 matches the Rfam family "Eukaryotic large subunit ribosomal RNA", at positions 665 to 813 of the family's 3401-position model. Lineage: Eukaryota; Metazoa; Nematoda; Chromadorea; Rhabditida; Hoplolaimidae. The record is from RNAcentral.
CCGAUGAGGUGGAAACGGACAGAGCUGGCGUAUCUGGCCUGCAUUCAGCCGCUGCGCGUCGGGCCCCGGUUUGCCGCACUCCAGAUUGGGAAGGUGGCUGGGCUGCUGGCGUGCUGGUGGUGCAUUUGCAGGUGGAGUGCGCCGAGGCGCUCGGUUCAGCGGCAUGAGCUCGGCUUUGAGGCCAGUCGCGCAAGCGGUCUGGUACCCGGGUCGGGGGAGUGUUGUUUGGGCUGGGUGUUCGCUUGGGCACAGGUUUCGGGCCCGUGUGGGUGCCGAGCUGGCGGUCGGCGGCGGUCGCGUGCGACACGUGCCAGCAGUCAGUUCGGUCCUGCUCGAGCUCUCUCGUGUCCGGCCUCGGUGUAAAAGCCGGUCAUCUGUCCGACCCGUCUUGAAACACGGACCAAGGAGUUUAGCGUGUGCGCGAGUCAUUGGGUGUUGAAAACCCAGAGGCGUAAUGAAAGUGAAGGUCUGCCUUGUGCAGCUGAUGUGUGAUCCUGGGCGCUGCGGCGUCCGGGCGCAACAUAGUCCCGUCCCGACUGCAUGCAGUGGGGCGGAGACAGAGCGUACGCGCUGAG